AUGGGCGAANNCCUGAUGCAGCAACGCCGCGUGCGGGAAUGACGGCCUUCGGGUUGUAAACCGCUUUCAGCUCCGACGAAGCGCAAGUGACGGUAGGAGCAGAAGAAGGACCGGCCAACUACGUGCCAGCAGCCGCGGUGAUACGUAGGGUCCGAGCGUUGUCCGGAAUUAUUGGGCGUAAAGGGCUUGUAGGCGGUUUGUCACGUCGGAAGUGAAAACUCAGGGCUUAACCCUGAGCCUGCUUCCGAUACGGGCAAACUAGAGGAAUGCAGGGGAGAAUGGAAUUCCUGGUGGAGCGGUGGAAUGCGCAGAUAUCAGGAGGAACACCAGUGGCGAAGGCGGUUCUCUGGGCAUUUCCUGACGCUGAGAAGCGAAAGCGUGGGGAGCAAACAGGCUUAGAUACCCUGGUAGUCCACGCCGUAAACGGUGGGCACUAGGUGUGGGACUCAUUCCACGAGUUCCGUGCCGUAGCUAACGCAUUAAGUGCCCCGCCUGGGGAGUACGGCCGCAAGGCUAAAACUCAAAGGAAUUGACGGGGGCCCGCACAAGCGGCGGAGCAUGCGGAUUAAUUCGAUGCAACGCGAAGAACCUUACCUGGGUUUGACAUAUGCCGGAAAGCUGCAGAGAUGUAGCCCCCGCAAGGUCGGUAUACAGGUGGUGCAUGGCUGUCGUCAGCUCGUGUCGUGAGAUGUUGGGUUAAGUCCCGCAACGAGCGCAACCCUCGUCCUAUGUUGCCAGCGGAUAAUGCCGGGGACUCAUAGGAGACUGCCGGGGUCAACUCGGAGGAAGGUGGGGAUGACGUCAAGUCAUCAUGCCCCUUAAGUCCAGGGCUUCACGCAUGCUACAAUGGCUGGUACAAAAGGCUGCAAUACCGCAAGGNUUGAGCGAAUCCCAAAAAAGCCAGUCUCAGUUCGGAUUGGGGUCUGCAACUCGACCCCAUGAAGUC
This 946-nucleotide ribosomal RNA is filed under the name uncultured bacterium. RNAcentral's name for it is "bacterial SSU rRNA". It matches the Rfam family "Bacterial small subunit ribosomal RNA", at positions 371 to 1327 of the family's 1533-position model. The record is from RNAcentral.